Prunus mume (Japanese apricot) is the source of this 1232-nucleotide non-coding RNA. Lineage: Eukaryota; Viridiplantae; Streptophyta; Magnoliopsida; Rosales; Rosaceae. The record is from RefSeq and is a predicted model, not a curated record.
CGACAGUUUACACACGCAAAUCGCAGCAAAGUGGGAACUUUUCAGAAAACAAAAAUGGCGAAAGCGAUUCGGUUCUUUGAGUUGAACACUGGGGCCAAGAUCCCGUCCCUCGGUUUGGGCACGUGGCAGGCUGAGCCCGGCGUCGUUGCCGCCGCCGCCACCACCCGCCGUCACCACCGCCAUUAAGGUCGGGUACCGGCAUAUUGAUUGUGCUCAAGCGUAUGGCAAUGAAAAGGAGAUUGGGUUUGCUCUGAAGAAGCUUUAUGAUGAUGGUGUGGUGAAGCGUGAGGACCUAUGGAUAACUUCAAAACUCUGGUGCAAUAAUCAUGAACCAGAAGAUGUGCCAAAAGCACUAGAUAGUACCCUGCAAGACUUACAACUCGACUAUCUCGAUCUCUAUCUAAUCCACUGGCCUGUCAAGAUGAAGAAGGGUUCAACUGGCUUUAAGACUGAAAACCUUGCCCAACCUGACAUAGCCAGUACUUGGAAAGCAAUGGAGGCACUUUAUGAUUCUGGCAAGGCCAGGGCCAUAGGGGUUAGCAAUUUUUCUACAAAGAAGCUUGGAGACCUAUUAACAGUGGCACGAGUGCCUCCGGCUGUUAAUCAAGUGGAAUUGCACCCUCAAUGGCAGCAGCCAAAGCUAAAAGAAUUCUGCAAAUCCAAGGGAGUUCACUUAACCGGGUAUUCACCAUUGGGAUCCCCAGGCACUAGCAGCAUUAAGGGUGAUGUGCUUAAGAAUCCGAUUCUUACAUCGGUGGCAGAGAAGCUGGGCAAGACUCCUGCACAAGUGGCUAUCCGGUGGGGGCUCCAGUCAGGUCACAGUGUACUGCCUAAGAGCACAAAGGAUGCAAGGAUCAAGGAGAACUUCGGUGUUUUUGAUUGGUCUAUACCUGAAGAUUUGUUUGCAAAGUUUGCUGAAGCAAAGCAGGAGAGGCUGCUUAAAGGUACCGGAUUCGUCCACGAGACUUCCGAAGGUUACAAGACCAUCGAGGAACUUUGGGACGGCGAAUUGUGAGCAUAACCUGGAUGAGCUGAUCUUAGAAACAUUUGGCUUUUCAUUAGCUUCAUGAAGAAUGGUGGAUACAGAAGUUGUGGCACUUCUGUUGACCUUUGUUUUUUUUUUUUUUACUUUUAAAGAUACAUUCAGCUUUAAUGACAUAUAAAAUCCUGUGCUGCUUCAGCGUAUUGGACUGUCACGAAAUUAUGAAUCUUGAUGGAGAUUUUUCUUUGUU